UAAUACAGAGGGUGCGAGCGUUGUCCGGAAUCACUGGGCGUAAAGGGCGCGUAGGCGGUGGGGUAAGCGUGCGGUGAAAGCUCGGAGCUCAACUCCGCGUCGGCCGUGCGAACUGCACCACUGGAGCAUGUCAGAGGCAGGCGGAAUUCCGGGUGUAGCGGUGGAAUGCGUAGAGAUCCGGAAGAACACCGGUGGCGAAGGCGGCCUGCUGGGACAUUGCUGACGCUGAAGCGCGACAGCGUGGGGAGCAAACAGGAUUAGAUACCCUGGUAGUCCACGCCGUAAACGAUGGGCACUAGGUGCUUGGGGGAGCGACCCCCUGAGUGCCGGCGCUAACGCAUUAAGUGCCCCGCCUGGGGAGUACGGCCGCAAGGCUG
This 377-nucleotide ribosomal RNA is filed under the name uncultured bacterium. RNAcentral describes it as "bacterial SSU rRNA". It matches the Rfam family "Bacterial small subunit ribosomal RNA", at positions 521 to 896 of the family's 1533-position model. The record is from RNAcentral.